Molecule: unclassified non-coding RNA, 307 nt
Filed under: Hevea brasiliensis (rubber tree)
Lineage: Eukaryota; Viridiplantae; Streptophyta; Magnoliopsida; Malpighiales; Euphorbiaceae
Source: RNAcentral
GUUAACCACAACCCAUCGAUCAAUGCAAGUGGUUUUGAAAAGAGUCUUGUAAUUGAAGUUCCACCGACCAUUCGUAGGGAGAAAGUCUUCCUUGUUUCCUACCCUCAACAUUGGAGUUCCAAGUACGCGACCGUCAACUUGCAUCAUUUGUCUUUCUAUAGAAACACCACUUGCAGAAAGCAAAGAAUCAUCAUCGCAACGGUAGUUUCUCACAGCAUCAAUCACAGUUCGUUUUCUAUUUUGAGGGUUUUGUCUAGAAUUUGCAACCAAAGAUGCUCUUAGAGUUGGGGAUAGAGCUUUUGUACAG